This is a small nuclear RNA of Saimiri boliviensis boliviensis (Bolivian squirrel monkey), 107 nucleotides long. The record is from Ensembl. NCBI's taxonomy places the organism in Eukaryota, Metazoa, Chordata, Mammalia, Primates, Cebidae.
GUGCUCGCUUAGGCAGCACAUAUACUAACAUGGGAAUGACACAGAGGAGAUUAGCAUGGCCCCUGCGCAAGGAUAACAUGCAAAUUCAUGAAGGGUUCUGUAUUUUU